UGGGGAAUUUUGCGCAAUGGGGGAAACCCUGACGCAGCAACGCCGCGUGGAGGAUGAAGUAUCUUGGUACGUAAACUCCUUUCGAUGGGGACGAUUAUGACGGUACCCAUAGAAGAAGCCCCGGCUAACUUCGUGCCAGCAGCCGCGGUAAUACGAGGGGGGCAAGCGUUGUUCGGAAUUAUUGGGCGUAAAGGGUGCGUAGGCGGUUCGGUAAGUCUUGUGUGAAAUCUUCAGGCUCAACUUGAAGUCUGCACAGGAAACUGCUGGGCUGGAGUAUGGGAGAGGUGAGUGGAAUUCCUGGUGUAGCGGUGAAAUGCGUAGAUAUCAGGAGGAACACCUGUGGCGAAAGCGGCUCACUGGACCAUAACUGACGCUGAGGCACGAAAGCUAGGGGAGCAAACA
Molecule: ribosomal RNA, 402 nt
Filed under: uncultured bacterium
Lineage: Bacteria
Description: bacterial SSU rRNA
Rfam family: Bacterial small subunit ribosomal RNA
Source: RNAcentral